This is a long non-coding RNA of Zingiber officinale, 704 nucleotides long. RefSeq lists it as uncharacterized. The record is from RefSeq and is a predicted model, not a curated record. NCBI's taxonomy places the organism in Eukaryota, Viridiplantae, Streptophyta, Magnoliopsida, Zingiberales, Zingiberaceae. The transcript has 2 exons.
CGGAGAAGGUGUUCAACGGUAUGCUUCUGAGAGACGUCUACACUUGGAACAAUAGAAACAAAACGUCAUCUAAAACACUCCCUAGAUUCCAAAAACUCUACUCGAGAAGAAAACUCCUCUCUACAAGUUCUUGUUCUCCAAGAUUCAUUACACGUGCAUUAAUGUGUUGUUUGAACUUUAGUAUGCAAUUGGGGUAAAAAAAAAAUCAUAGUACCGAAGUUACAACUCAUCACAUGCUUUGUGUAGGUCAUGCAUGCUGUGCACAGGUGUCAUACUCAUUUGGGCACAUGAUGUUCUGCUCAAUACUGAGAAAUACCAUACCAAGCAAUUCUCAGUAGAAAUCAUAUUAAGUGGAAAUCUCCUUGAAUGUGUUUGGACGAUCUACUUGCACGAUUUGUUCUUAGACAUAACAUAGUUCAUGUUUUUUUUUUAUUCCUCUAAAUAUUUAUUCUUUUGAAAGAAACAUUGGCUAGUAGCUUCUAUAUCCAAAAUGUUCUCUUUUAAAGUUUUUCUGAAUCUCAAUCAUCUCUAGGGACACUGUUGGACAAGAGAGAUUUAGGAGCCUCAUCCCAAGUUAUAUUCGUGACUCAUCAGUUGCAGUGAUUGCUUAUGAUGUUGCAAAUCGUCAGUCUUUCUUAAAUACUUUAAAAUGGAUUGAAGAGGUUCGAACGGAGAGGGGAAGUGAUGUUAUUAUUGUCCUUGUU